Molecule: transfer RNA, 77 nt
Filed under: Strongylocentrotus purpuratus (purple sea urchin)
Lineage: Eukaryota; Metazoa; Echinodermata; Echinoidea; Camarodonta; Strongylocentrotidae
Rfam family: tRNA
About the family: Transfer RNA (tRNA) molecules are approximately 80 nucleotides in length. Their secondary structure includes four short double-helical elements and three loops (D, anti-codon, and T loops). Further hydrogen bonds mediate the characteristic L-shaped molecular structure. tRNAs have two regions of fundamental functional importance: the anti-codon, which is responsible for specific mRNA codon recognition, and the 3' end, to which the tRNAs corresponding amino acid is attached (by aminoacyl-tRNA synthetases). tRNAs cope with the degeneracy of the genetic code in two manners: having more than one tRNA (with a specific anti-codon) for a particular amino acid; and 'wobble' base-pairing, i.e. permitting non-standard base-pairing at the 3rd anti-codon position.
Source: Rfam by way of RNAcentral
GACAUGGUGGCUCAGUGGUUAGAGCGCCCGCCUCAUGAACGGGAGGUUGUGCAUGGGUUCGAACCCCGGCCGAGUCA